GUUCAAAUCUCCCCCCAGAUGAAACCAGGGUGUCGCCAUCUCUGAGGAUCUGAGUUGUACUGAUGAUAUCAAUUGCAGUGCAAAACUUUAGGAUGGACGGUAAGGAUGAUAGGAGAAGAAGAAAGCAUGCAACUUCAAUUGAUUUCAUCAUGUUUAAUCUCUAUCUUUUGUCUUGACCUUGUAUCUUCAGCUCUCGAUGCAGGGGAUUCAAACAGGAAGAAAACAAUAUUCCCAGUUGUUCAUUAUCUACUGUCUCAAAAUUCUACACGGCUCGUUAACCUGACUUGCAUGGGCUCUAGAUGAUUAAAAUUUCAUCAUUUGGUUCCACAAUGUCAGGCUGCUAAUGAAAAGUAAACUUUUCAAUUGAUUCCAUAAUAUAUUCAAUAUUUGACAUAAGAUAGUCACUUUUUACACCUAUUUUGUAAGCGCAAACGGCUAUGCUUGACCUAAAACAAUAUAUUAUUCUUAUUGAACUAGUGCUUUCUUUAAGUUAUCAAUAAUAGCGGAAUUUAUUUAUUACUGGUAUUGACUUGUUGUUUCUACUGUUUUCAGAUAUAAAUCAGGUGGGAAAGAGCAAGAAAUUGUACUUCAAUCAUGCUUCAUGUGAAGUUGCCAAGAAAAGACGUUCCUCCUUCCUAAUGAAUAUUUAUAGCAAAUAUUCCAAAUGCAACAGAAUUUAGGUAGUGUUUGAUUGGAACCAAUUGCAUAGAAAAUGGAACAAAUUUUUCAUCUUUUACUCAAUUAAUGGUGUUUGAUACCAUUUAUUUUCCAUAAAAUUGGUUUUUUGCUUUUGUUGCCACAUGGACAUUUUCCAUCUAAUUGAGUGAGAAUUCAUUUUCCUGGUUA
This 846-nucleotide long non-coding RNA is filed under the name Olea europaea (common olive). Its description in RNAcentral is "long non-coding RNA (OEUR_LNC002058)". The record is from RNAcentral. Lineage: Eukaryota; Viridiplantae; Streptophyta; Magnoliopsida; Lamiales; Oleaceae.